CCUGGUGGCGAGUGGCGAACGGGUGAGUAAUACAUCGGAACGUGCCCUGUAGUGGGGGAUAACUAGUCGAAAGACUAGCUAAUACCGCAUACGACCUGAGGGUGAAAGUGGGGGACCGCAAGGCCUCAUGCUAUAGGAGCGGCCGAUGUCUGAUUAGCUAGUUGGUGGGGUAAAGGCCUACCAAGGCGACGAUCAGUAGCUGGUCUGAGAGGACGAUCAGCCACACUGGGACCGAGACACGGCCCAGACUCCUACGGGAGGCAGCAGUGGGGAAUUUUGGACAAUGGGGGCAACCCUGAUCCAGCAAUGCCGCGUGUGUGAAGAAGGCCUUCGGGUUGUAAAGCACUUUUGUCCGGGAAGAAAUCGCACCUGAUAAUACCGGGUGUGGAUGACGGUACCGGAAGAAUAAGGACCGGCUAACUACGUGCCAGCAGCCGCGGUAAUACGUAGGGUCCAAGCGUUAAUCGGAAUUACUGGGCGUAAAGCGUGCGCAGGCGGUUGUGCAAGACCGAUGUGAAAUCCCCGGGCUUAACCUGGGAAUUGCAUUGGUGACUGCACGGCUAGAGUGUGUCAGAGGGGGGUAGAAUUCCACGUGUAGCAGUGAAAUGCGUAGAGAUGUGGAGGAAUACCGAUGGCGAAGGCAGCCCCCUGGGAUAACACUGACGCUCAUGCACGAAAGCGUGGGGAGCAAACAGGAUUAGAUACCCUGGUAGUCCACGCCCUAAACGAUGUCAACUAGUUGUUGGGGGAUUCAUUUCCUUAGUAACGUAGCUAACGCGUGAAGUUGACCGCCUGGGGAGUACGGUCGCAAGAUUAAAACUCAAAGGAAUUGACGGGGACCCGCACAAGCGGUGGAUGAUGUGGAUUAAUUCGAUGCAACGCGAAAAACCUUACCUACUC
Molecule: ribosomal RNA, 900 nt
Filed under: uncultured bacterium
Lineage: Bacteria
Description: bacterial SSU rRNA
Rfam family: Bacterial small subunit ribosomal RNA
Source: RNAcentral